ACAGCUGCGUGUUCCUCCUGUCGCACGGGAUGAGUCGGUCUCUCAGGUGCGGCGCUGACUCACGGCUCCCAGCAGCAGGAGGGGUUGGGACACGUCCCAGUGCAAGGCGCCGGGAGCAGCGCGGGGCCCCGCAGGGUUUGGAACGGGGCUGGCUGAAUGACGAGCGGGGGCUUAAGGAGUCGGUACGAGUUUGCACGGUGAGGUCACGCGUCGCUGGUUCACGUCGUGAUGUCAGCAGCGAGGGCAGGCGGUGCUGGACGGCACCCAGGGCGGGUUGGAGGUGAGCAGUGGGAGCGUGGUUGGUGCGGGUUUGUAACGCAAUCGGCCCCGGUCCUGGGGUCAAGGCUGGAUCAGAGGUCAGACGGAGUCACCCCUCGGCCCACAGACAUCCCCCCGGCAUCGGCAGCGCUCUGAGGGAGGGGGCUUUUGGCAGCACGCUGUCCCCUCCUGCGCUCAGCCCUGGGAGCCGCACCGAGCGCGGGGGAGAGGACGCAGGGAAGGCGAACACACAUCAAGCUUGUUCAAAUCUGCCCGUCCCCGUUCCAAAGAGGCACUGAUCUUAUCUCCUUUAAAGCACGGGCCUUAUUUGAUUGUCGGGUUUUCCUCUUCUGAUCGCAAUCCCCCGCUGCGUGCCCACGCUCUCCCUGCUGGGACUCGUCCCUCGCAGCUGCACGUGUUAUCAGUGCCCGGCGGUGCAUUGGAGCUGCGCAGGUGCUGCAGGGCCAGCGCCAGGGAAGAAGCGAGCUGGAGGAAGCAGCUGAGGGGUGCAGUGCAAAGCAGCCUCUGCUCGUUUCAGAGGCGCCUGGCACCGAGAAUGCGACCUGAACCUCCCAUAGCUUUCAGGGGACGAGCAGGAUGAACAGAAGCCAGCGGGUCCCUGUGAGCAGAGGUGCACUGACACGGCCCGUGCUGCUGGUGGGUGUGCAGGGCACGUGCGGGCUCAGGGAGCGUUGUUCUCCCACAGGGUUUUACCCUUCGCUCCUCGGCCUCGAUUUCUUUCCCUUCUCAGUUUAUAAUUUCUGUUCCCUUCUGUGUGUGAGGAGCUUCCUGAAAGCGCAGAAGCUCAAGGAGUAAAUGAGAGGUGACGCAGCAGCUGUGACCUGUUCCCAGCACGGGGCUGGUUGGACAAAUGGGAACUGAGAGGCCCUGCGCAGGCUCGACACGCCAGCCACUCUGUGCUCUUUGCUACAACACUUGUACUCACGAGGCGUUUACUGGGUCCUUCACAGCGUGUUGCACAGCGUACCUCGUGAUUCUGCCUCUUCCCAUGGCACAGAGAUGAGCUGGCAGCGCUUCCACCACGCUGACAACGCGGGCACAGGUCUAGGAGAGCCCGGUCCUUGCACUGGAUGAGAGGCUUUCCAUGCUUUCCCUUCCCUUCUCCUCCCCCUGCACAGGUGACCUCUGCUCCCUCUGCUUUCGUCUGCAGUGCAAAGGCUGGCUGCUGAAGAGUGGUGUUCAAUAUGGUGUCCAACAUGUCCAGUACGGGAGUGUAGUCAUUUGAAUGGGAUUGCUGCUAAGUGCGGGCAGUGAGGAAGUGCUCUCCGUAACUCUUGUUCCUGAGAACGAAGAGUUCCUUACACGUCUGUGGAACUUACUCCUCUGUAGAGCAUGACUCAAAAGAACACUGCUUAAGGAGGUCUGCCGAAGAGCUGGUGCCAGGUUGUGUGAUUUCUGACACUGCACAGGAGCUCCUGGCUGGGAACUGAACUGGAACACAAACUCUGCAGGUUUCUGUUUCGGGAAAACAGGAUCCGAUUAAUUUCACAGUGAAUUCAGUUUGUCCUUAGAGCAGUGCUUCAGGUACACACGAAACAAAGGUUCCUCAAAGCUAUGGCGGAGCAGAUUUGAAUUAGCACCUGCAAAGGGAGGGCCGCGAGGAUGACCAGAAGGCUGGAGCACCUCUGCUAUGGAGGCAGGCUGAGAGCUGGGGCUGUCCAGCCUGGAGAAGGGUCUAGGGAGACCUCCCUGUGUCCUUCCAGUACAGAACAGGGGCUACAGGGAAGCUGUGGGGGAUGCUACCAGAGAGCGUGGUAAUAGGAACAGAGGGAAGAGCUUUAAGCUAAAAGGAGGGAGAUACAGGGUUUGGUGUCAAGGAAAUUCUUUCACUGAGAGGACAGUGAGGCCCUGGCAGGGGCUUCCCAAAGAAGCAGUGGGUGCCCUCCCCCUGAAGGUGCUCAAGGUUGGCUUGGAUGGAGCCUUGGGCAUCUGGUCAAUGGGAGGCGUCCCUGCCCACAGCAGGGCUUGGAAGCAGAUGGUCUUUAAGGUCCCUUCCAACCCAAACCAUUCUGUGAUGCCACAACAUGUCGAGCCUGGCAUCCACCUGGCUGAAGGACGCGUACUCCAAGGGAUGAAGCUUCUACCGCAUGCUGCUGUGCUUGCUGGAGCUGGCAGCCACCUCCGUGCCCUGGCAGAGCAGCACAACGCCCACCUUGCUGCCUGCUCGUGCCUGAAGAGGAUCGGGUAGAAGGUGAUUCUGCCUGUGAGGAACAAGGGCACUGGAAUCCUCCAUGGUGCAAUGCUCGCACCCGUCACGGCUGCACCGGUAGCAGAGGACUGGAGGGAGGAAAUGCAAAUAGUGCUUGUGGAUGGCUCUGCAGAGACACUGCCACCUACAGAUGUGCACAAAAAGGAGGCAUUACUCAUGAGCAGGCUGGGAGCACACUUCCCGUGUAUUUUUCUGGCAAUGGCUUUGUUUCAAGGAAAGGAUAUUUCAUCCUGUGGGCUCUUAACCAAAUGUAUCUGCUGCCUCACGGUGACUGCUGCGUUUUGGUACCCUAUGGCAACGCGUGGGAGACGCUGCUGCAAAGGCAGCAGUUUGCAGCGUCCUCCUGACAUCCUUGGAAAAAGGAUGUGGACAAUGUGGUCUUAGUCUAGAACCAGCAGCCUUCAGCUUUAAGGAAAGGCAGGGCCACUGAGUGGGAACGAGGAGAUUCCUCCUAACUACAGAGAGUGAUGUCGCGUUUAAAGAUAAACAUCAGGCAGAAUUCCUCAGCUGAGCAGUUAGUCAUUGCAAAGCUUCGUCCUCCUUGUUCUGCUCGAUGAGAACCUGAUGUGUGCCCCACCUUGUGCCCCAGUCCUCAGACCGUUUCCUAAAUAAGGCCCUGACUGCAGCCAGCAUCAUGUGCUCUCAUCAGUACAAUCAGCAUCCCCUUAUGAGGUAAUGGGUAGCAGAGCUGAAGAUGCCUGUGACCAGACGCAAGCUGUGCAGAUAAAGUUGUGUGAAAGCAACGGGCUGUGGCUGUAUUCUUGGGAACUGGUUCUGGAUAGAAAAGAGCCAAAACAUGCCUAGAGACACGAAUGGAAAGCCCCCAGUGGUUGUCACAGAAGCUGGACUUACCAGAAGAACGGCACAACACUUCUUUGAGGGAUUUCAAAAGCGUAAGAAACAAAACUGCAUGAAAUGUCUGACGUCCAGCACACCAAAGAAUGCCUGUGUUACACACUGGAAAGGUUUUGUGUGGGAUUUCCAACUUCAAGGAAGUUAAUUACAAAAUUCCGUUGUGAAAAAGCACCUGCCCUGGUUUCUCUGGCAUUCGUUGUCCUGGCGAGCGCUCUCCCAUGCCUCUUAUCUCCCUGCAGGCAGAUUGGAGCCAAACGUUAAUGGAAAACCGUGCUACAAGGGAUUCUGAGCAGGCACCCAGCCCACGCUCCGCCUGGCGGGGUCAGUUCAGCCCACUCUCUUGCUUGUUGCUUGCCCAGCUUGCUUUUGGAAAACCUGUAGACAAACACUUGGAGUCACUUCUUUCAGUCUCCAAAAAUGGGCCCAAGACCGAAGGUGAACUCUGUCACCCUUCUUUUGGGAAAAGAUGAGGAGCAGUGCUGCAGGCAGGGGCAAACCCACUGCAUGGACACCGCUGUCUGUGGCCGCCCAGCUGACGCCAUCCGCAUCAAUCAGAUGGUUUUUAAUCCUAUUAUUUGAAGGGAUGAAGGUGAAGGCAAGUGCCAGCACUGCUCGUUGCCCUUCUUAGCAGUUCUCUUUGGAAGUUCCCUCCUCGGGCUGAUUUCCUCGCCAGAACAGAAGUUCCACGGUCCUGUUUCAGCAAAUGAAAUCACCUAAAUCAAAUCAAAUCCUUCCAAAUCCUUCGGUCCAGCUUUUUAGCGGAGGACUGUUGUCAGUGUUUAUUUUCCAAACCCACAGCGGUACCUCAUCGUUAUUCAUGAGCGCUUCUGGAAAUCAUGACUAACCCGACCACGAGCCGUGUUCAGCGGAAACAUCGCUGCUGAACAGAAGCAAACUUCCAGACUCACAAAACGCGCCCUUUGGUUUCAGAUUCCUACAUGUGUGUGCCAAGGCAGAGCCCUACCUCAGCUGCACGGGUGGAGGUGUUAGGCCUUGUUAGGAUGUGCCAGCAGUGCAGAAGGGGGAAGAUGACAGGGAAGAAAAGACUAAGGGCAGCCAGAAGAGCUGCAGCUCAGUUAUCUCGCACCUUCCACCAGUUCCAAGCGAAGAUGAAACCGUCACCAGAGUUCAGAAGCAUUACAAGUGUUUUGGGGGGUUUUAUUCUUAAGCAACGCUCCCGUCUCCUGCUGCUAACAGCUAAUAAAUGUUUACACAGCAGGGAAAUUCCAGAGUGGGGGGAGAAAAUGAAUCUUCUGUUAAUGUUCAAACAAAGCAAGUGGAACACCUACCAUUGUCCUUAGCUGUUUUGUUGUAUCUCAGCAUGAAGCACAUCAAAGGAAAAAGGGAUUACUACGAUGAAUUGGUUUUGGAAUAUAAAGAACUGGUCAGAGAAAUAAACUGCUGUGAAUGGGCAGGAGCAAAGCAGGCCCACCUUGAAGGCAUCCAAAAUCUGAAAAACUGCUUACAAUGAUCCGCUUCGGAACGUCCUGCCAUUCCUUGGAGGAUUUCUCGGGACUCACUUGCAAUGCAAAAGCAUUUCAAACUCAAGUCUGUGCUUCCUGUAAGGACUUAAACAAAGCAUGAGUCUAAAAUAUGGGGAACUGCUGUUGAAAUCACUGAUGAGAACACAAAACUGCUACCAGCACAGCACCUUGACUACGCCAAGGGGAUUUUUUUUAGUGGUGCUUAUGCGUUAAGCACUAUUCCUUUGGAGAAUGCUUUUUCCAUACUCACUCAGUCCUAUGCCAUAGCUCCGUUCUGAAGCAUCAUUCGCAGUCUAAACCUGUUCAUACGGACUGAGGCUGUAAUAAAAUCAACUGAAGAAGUAAGCUGUCAGCAUCCUUGUGUACCCAUUUAUGAUCACGUACCACAAACGCAACCAAAAACCCCAGCUGAUUUAGCAGCACUCUGCUUUCCUUGUGCUUCACACAAAGGAACUGUACACGGCACGCCACCAGUGAGAUACAAGUGCAGGUCAUGCUUGCACAGCAAGAUUUUUAUCUUGCACCUGUCAGCUGAUCCAGCUGAAUUCCUUCACCGCAGUCAUGCUGCAGCACGGAGCAAUUCUAGAAUUGCUUUGACUCUGUUUGCUUAUGGGGCUGCACUCAGAAGUCUUGUGACAGUAUCAGAGUGCAUAGGAAACCUGAGAUGGGUUACUGGGUCUAAGGGCACCUAAUGAAAUCUCCUGCUUCUAGAUGAAUCUGCUGUGGUUUAGUUCUUCUGGGAUACAGCACUGGUAUUUGCACCACUCCAAC
Molecule: long non-coding RNA, 5598 nt
Organism: Numida meleagris (helmeted guineafowl)
Lineage: Eukaryota; Metazoa; Chordata; Aves; Galliformes; Numididae
Exons: 3
Source: RefSeq, a predicted model, not a curated record